Molecule: ribosomal RNA, 493 nt
Filed under: uncultured Flavobacterium sp.
Lineage: Bacteria; Pseudomonadati; Bacteroidota; Flavobacteriia; Flavobacteriales; Flavobacteriaceae
Description: bacterial SSU rRNA
Rfam family: Bacterial small subunit ribosomal RNA
Source: RNAcentral
AGAGUUUGAUCAUGGCUCAGGAUGAACGCUAGCGGCAGGCUUAACACAUGCAAGUCGAGGGGUAUAGAGAGCUUGCUUUCUAGAGACCGGCGCACGGGUGCGUAACGCGUAUGCAAUCUACCUUUAUCAGAGGGAUAGCCCAGAGAAAUUUGGAUUAAUACCUCAUAGUAUAGCGACAUCGCAUGAUGAUGCUAUUAAAGUCACAACGGAUAAAGAUGAGCAUGCGUCCCAUUAGCUUGUUGGUAAGGUAACGGCUUACCAAGGCAACGAUGGGUAGGGGUCCUGAGAGGGAGAUCCCCCACACUGGUACUGAGACACGGACCAGACUCCUACGGGAGGCAGCAGUGAGGAAUAUUGGUCAAUGGGCGCAAGCCUGAACCAGCCAUGCCGCGUGCAGGAUGACGGUCCUAUGGAUUGUAAACUGCUUUUGCACAGGAAGAAACACUACCUCGUGAGGUAGCUUGACGGUACUGGAGAAUAAGAUCGAUCGCUG